UGGCGAAUCUCGAAAGCCUAUCUCAGUUCGGAUUGGAGGCUGAAACCCGCCUCCAUGAAGUUGGAUUCGCUAGUAAUCGCGCAUCAGCCAUGGCGCGGUGAAUACGUUCCCGGGCCUUGUACACACCGCCCGUCAAGCCAUGGGAGCUGGGGGUGCCUGAAGUUCGUGACCGCAAGGAUCGACCUAGGGCAAAACCGGUGACUGGGGCUAAGUCGUAACAAGGUAUC
RNAcentral lists this ribosomal RNA (227 nucleotides) under uncultured bacterium. RNAcentral describes it as "partial 16S ribosomal RNA". It matches the Rfam family "Bacterial small subunit ribosomal RNA", at positions 1265 to 1500 of the family's 1533-position model. The record is from RNAcentral.